CAGUAGCCGCGGUAACACGGAGGGUGCAAGCGUUAAUCGGAUUUACUGGGCGUAAAGCGUGCGUAGGCGGCUUCUUAAGUCGGAUGUGAAAUCCCUGAGCUUAACUUAGGAAUUGCAUUCGAUACUGGGAAGCUAGAGUAUGGGAGAGGAUGGUAGAAUUCCAGGUGUAGCGGUGAAAUGCGUAGAGAUCUGGAGGAAUACCGAUGGCGAAGGCAGCCAUCUGGCCUAAUACUGACGCUGAGGUACGAAAGCAUGGGGAGCAAACAGGAUUAGAUACCCCGGUAGUCCCUGUCUCUUAUAA
RNAcentral lists this ribosomal RNA (301 nucleotides) under uncultured bacterium. RNAcentral describes it as "partial 16S ribosomal RNA". It matches the Rfam family "Bacterial small subunit ribosomal RNA", at positions 509 to 809 of the family's 1533-position model. The record is from RNAcentral.